This 319-nucleotide long non-coding RNA is filed under the name Pan paniscus (pygmy chimpanzee). RNAcentral describes it as "lncRNA (ENSPPAG00000045126.1)". The record is from RNAcentral. Lineage: Eukaryota; Metazoa; Chordata; Mammalia; Primates; Hominidae.
CCACCAACCUCGCGCUGGCUCCAAUAGAGCGGGCUGCCUUUGUAUCCUUGUACCCUCAUUCAGAGCUGGUUAUAAAACCUCAGAAGGUCAAAGACUGUGUCUGUUUACCAUGCUUGGUGUUGUAUUAAACACAGCACCAUACACAGAGGAAUGCCAGGCACAACCAAAAGAAAAUGUUGGAAAGAGAGCAACGGGAUUAGGAGAGCCUCAACUUCCCUGUGAGCUCAUUUUCUUCUGUCUACAUGUAAGGAGCUUGGAGGAGGGAAAAUGAAUGCCCAGUGGCUUUUAAUUUCAUUUCCUUCAUUAAAAUGUAAUAUUU